This is an RNA transcript of Chinchilla lanigera (long-tailed chinchilla), 6485 nucleotides long. It is a transcript of the gene named lysine (K)-specific demethylase 3A, with no coding region annotated. Lineage: Eukaryota; Metazoa; Chordata; Mammalia; Rodentia; Chinchillidae. The transcript has 27 exons. The record is from RefSeq and is a predicted model, not a curated record.
ACCUAAUGGGGGUCGCCCGGGAGUCGGAAGGGGGAGGGGAAAGGGAGGAGGUAGCCAAGGAAUUGUUUUUUUCUCUCGCACCGCCCUUGCCAGCUCGACCAAUAGCGAUAAGGCAUUUCCCCAAGAGCCUCGCCCAGCUCCCGCGAUUCAGCCAAUGAGCGGCGGAAGCGGCUCCGAGGGGGCGGGCCCGGGAGGCAGUGCGUGUCUUGUGAGAGCUCUUGAACCAAGUCAGAGAUAGAGUCGGCUGGGCGGCUGAGAACGGCGGUUGCCGCCGGUGACUCAGGGAGGCGGGAGGCGGGGGAGGAGCCCUUCCUGCCGGCGUGGAAACCAUGGUGCUCACGCUCGGAGAAAGUUGGCCGGUAUUGGUGGGGAAGCGAUUCCUCAGUCUGUCCGCGGCCGACGGCGGCGACGACAGCUGGGACGUGGAGCGCGUCGCCGAGUGGCCCUGGCUGUCCGGGACCAUUCGCGCCGUCUCGCACACCGACGUGACGAAGAAGGACCUGAAGGUGUGUGUGGAGUUUGAUGGGGAAUCUUGGAGGAAGAGAAGAUGGAUGGAAGUCUACAGCCUUCAGAGGAGAGCAUUUUUAGUAGAGCAUCAUUUGGUCUUGGCUGAACGAAAGUCACCUGAAAUUUCUGAACGAAUUACUCAGUGGCCUGCAAUAAUGUACAAAUCUCUAUUGGACAAAGCUGGUUUGGGAUCUAUAACUUCUGUUCGCUUCCUAGGAGAUCAACAAAGCGUAUUUCUUUCCAAAGAGGUUUUGAAGCCUAUACAGGACGUAAACAAUCUUCGGCUUUCCCUUACUGAUAAUCAGAAGGUCAGUAAGGAAUUUCAAGCCUUGAUUGUGAAACAUUUAGAUGAAAGCCAUCUUUUACAAGGUGACAAAAACUUAGUUGGUUCAGAAGUAAAAAUUUAUAGCUUGGACCCAUCUACUCAGUGGUUUUCAGCAACUGUUGUAAAUGGAAACCCAACAUCAAAAACUCUUCAAGUCAACUGUGAGGAGAUCCCAGCACUGAAAAUUGUUGAUCCGUCACUGAUUCAUGUUGAAGUUGUACAUGAAAACUUUGUGACAUGUGGUAAUUCUACCAGAAUGGGAGGUGUAAAACGGAAGUCUUCUGAGAACAAUGGAAGCUUCGUUUCCAAACAAGCAAAGUCUUCCUCUGAGGCCUCUCCCAGUGUGUGUCCUGUACAGUCUGUUCCCACAGCAGUGUUUAAGGAGAUCCUGCUCGGCUGUACUGCAGCAACUCCACCUAGUAAGGACCCAAGACAGCAGAAUACUCCCCAAGCUGCCAAUUCUCCACCUAACCUUGGAGCAAAAAUUCCUCAAGGCUGCCAUAAGCAGAGUUUACCAGAAGAACUUUCUUCCUGUCUAAACACAAAGCCUGAAAUACUGAGAAUAAAACCAGAUGUCUGCAAAGCAGGGUUGCUCUCUUCAAAGUCUUCUCAGGUUGGAACUGGAGACUUGAAAAUUCUGAGUGAACCCAAAAGCGGUUGUACCCAGCCUAAGACAAACAGUGAUCAGGAAAACAGAUCGGAAUCUAUUCCACAGCCAUUGACUGGCCUUGCUAAGGAGAGCUUAUGUACAAAGACUUCUAAGGCAGAAUUGGAGAUUGCCAGUACUCCUGAACUGCAAAAGCACCUAGAACAUGCACCUUCCACAUCCGAUGUUCUUCCCAAUAAGCCAGAAGCGACAGCAGCUGUUAAUAGUGCUAGCCCUCGUGGCUGUCCAGAAAACAAGGUAGAAUCUUCAACUUUAGGUUGCCGGCCACAGAAUUUAAAGGAAACUUCAGUGAAAGUAGACAAUGAAAGCUGUUGUACAAGAAGCAACAAUAAAAUCCAGAAUGUCCCAGCCCGGAAGUCGGUUUUAACAGACCCAGCAAAACUCAAGAAGCUGCAGCAGAGUGGUGAGGCCUUUGUGCAGGACGAUUCCUGUGUGAACAUCGUCGCACAGCUGCCCAAGUGCCGGGAGUGUCGCUUGGAUAGUCUGCGCAAGGACAAGGAGCCGCAGAAGGACUCGCCAGUGUUUUGUCGCUUCUUCCACUUCAGAAGGUUACAAUUCAAUAAACAUGGUGUGUUGCGGGUAGAAGGCUUCUUAACACCAAACAAGUACGACAGUGAAGCAAUUGGCUUGUGGCUGCCUUUGACCAAAAAUGUUGUGGGGACUGAUUUGGACACGGCAAAGUAUAUCUUGGCCAACAUUGGAGACCACUUCUGUCAAAUGGUGAUUUCUGAAAAGGAAGCUAUGUCAACUAUUGAGCCACACAGACAGGUUGCUUGGAAGCGAGCUGUCAAAGGUGUUCGAGAAAUGUGUGACGUGUGUGACACCACCAUCUUCAACCUGCACUGGGUGUGCCCUCGGUGUGGGUUUGGGGUGUGUGUGGAUUGCUACCGCAUGAAGAAGAAGAAUUGCCAGCAGGGGGCCACCUACAAGACUUUCUCGUGGCUGAGAUGUGUGAAGAGUCAGAUACAUGAGCCGGAGAACCUAAUGCCUACUCAGAUCAUUCCUGGCAAAGCCCUCUAUGAUGUUGGAGACAUUGUUCAUUCAGUAAGAGUAAAAUGGGGAAUAAAGGCAAAUUGUCCGUGUUCAAACAGGCAGUUCAAACUCUUUUCAAAGCCACCCUCAAAGGAAGACCUGAAACAGACCUCCUUAGCGGGGGAAAGACCGACACUCAGUGCCGUACUCCAGCAAAGUCCCUCAGCUUUGGAGCCAGCGACGGUGGGAGGGGAAGCAGCCUCUAAGCCAGCUGCCAGCGCGAAGCCUCCCUGUCCAGCCAGCCCGUCGCCUUUGAAUUGGCUGGCCGACCUGACGAGUGGGAAUGUCAACAAGGAAAACAAGGAGAAACAGCCAGUGAUGCCAACUUUAAAGAAUGAAGUCAGAUGCCUUCCCCCCCUUCCCCCUCUUAACAAAUCCAGCACAGUGCUCCAUACCUUCAACAGCACAAUUCUGACACCUGUGAGCAACAAUUCUGGUUUCCUCCGAACCCUCUUGAAUUCUUCUACGGGAAAGACAGAAAAUGGACUCAAGAAUACACCAAAAAUCCUUGAUGACAUCUUUGCCUCUUUGGUGCAAAAUAAGACGUCCUCUGAUUUAUCUAAGAGGCCUCAAGGACUGACCAUCAAGCCCAGCAUUCUGGGCUUUGACACUCCUCACUACUGGCUGUGUGAUAAUCGCUUGUUGUGCUUGCAAGAUCCCAACAACAAGAGCAACUGGAACGUGUUCAGGGAGUGCUGGAAACAAGGGCAGCCAGUGAUGGUGUCAGGAGUGCACCACAGAUUGAACACUGAACUUUGGAAACCCGAGUCCUUCAGGAAAGAGUUUGGUGAGCAGGAGGUUGACCUGGUUAAUUGUCGGACCAAUGAAAUCAUCACAGGAGCCACUGUCGGAGACUUUUGGGAUGGAUUUGAAGAUGUCCCAAAUCGUCUAAAAAAUGACAAAGAACCAAUGGUGUUGAAACUUAAGGACUGGCCACCAGGAGAGGAUUUUAGAGAUAUGAUGCCUUCCAGAUUUGAUGACUUGAUGGCCAACAUCCCACUGCCUGAGUACACAAGGCGAGAUGGCAAAUUGAACUUGGCCUCUAAACUGCCAAACUACUUUGUUCGGCCAGAUCUCGGUCCCAAGAUGUAUAAUGCUUAUGGAUUAAUCACUCCAGAAGAUCGGAAGUAUGGGACCACAAAUCUUCACUUAGACGUAUCUGACGCAGCUAACGUCAUGGUGUAUGUGGGAAUUCCCAAAGGACAGUGUGAGCAAGAGGAAGAAGUCCUUAGAACCAUCCAAGAUGGAGAUUCUGAUGAACUCACAAUAAAGCGAUUUAUUGAAGGAAAAGAGAAGCCAGGAGCCCUCUGGCAUAUAUAUGCUGCUAAAGACACGGAGAAGAUAAGAGAAUUCCUUAAAAAGGUGUCUGAAGAGCAGGGCCAAGAGAACCCGGCAGACCACGACCCUAUUCAUGACCAGAGCUGGUAUUUGGACCGGUCAUUGAGGAAGCGUCUUCAUCAAGAGUAUGGAGUUCAAGGUUGGGCUAUUGUACAGUUUCUUGGGGAUGUGGUGUUUAUCCCGGCAGGCGCUCCACAUCAGGUUCAUAAUUUAUACAGCUGUAUCAAAGUGGCUGAAGACUUUGUGUCUCCAGAGCAUGUAAAACACUGCUUCUGGCUUACUCAGGAAUUCCGUUACCUGUCACAGACUCAUACCAACCAUGAGGAUAAAUUGCAGGUGAAGAAUGUUAUCUACCAUGCAGUGAAAGAUGCAGUUGCUAUGCUGAAAGCCAGUGAAUCUAGUUUCAGCAAACCUUAAUCCCUGCACAUUGGAAGUGAAUUGUUGGCAGCUGUUCAAACUCUUCAGGCAGGAUUCCUGUGGACUUUGAGAUUUCAUGUUACCUCAUCUUCUUUUUUAAAAUAUACCCAACUUGUGAGGCAUGUUAAAUGUUAUCCCACUGCCUUCUGACCUCCAUGGUUUGUGAUCAGAAAGUAUGUGUUAAUCUUACUGAGGAUCCAUUUUAGAUGGUGAGUCAUUUCUCUUUGUUGCUUUAAAGAUUAUCUUGGUCCUCUACUUCCAGUGAUUUGAUAUCAGCUGUCUUAAUGUGAAUGUUUCAGUUCAUCUUAUCAGAGACUUGAGCUUGUUCAGUGAACUUUCUCAGAUUUGGGAGGUUUUAGGUCAUUUUUUAAAUACUGUUUUUGACCUUUGCCAAGAUGCAUGUAAUAGUGAGCUUGAUGAUUUUCCCCAAAUUUCUUAAGCUGUGUUUGAGUUUUCUCAUUCUUUUAGUUCUAUUUUCAAGUUUUCUGAUCUUUCUUCCACCUCUUCAGAUCUUCUGUUUAGCACCUUAAUAUGUUGUUCAUUAUAACUACUGUACAUUUCAACUCUAAAAUCUCCAUGGGGCACCAUGUUAUAAUUUGCCUCUUUGUUUUCUCAUUUUGUUCAUAGUUGUCCUCAUUUCUUUUAGUUCAUUGUCCAUGAUUUUCUUUUAAUCUUCCCAUCUUUAAAGCAAUUAUUUAUACUCUUUCACUUCAGGUAGGUUUACUUCCUUUUUUAAUGGGUUUCCAGUGUUUUCAAGCAAUGCCUGCUGUUUUUCUGCCAAGUGGGUUCUGAGUUAGGCAAACAAAGAGGUUUUAGUUCCUCUUGUGUUAGUUCUCCAAACAGGUUAAGGCAGGCUGUGUUUUCUUGGGAGUCCGAGACCAUGGUCCGGCACUGAGAAUGUGGGUGGCUGUUGGCUACCAAGCUGGGGAGGAGGUGGGGGAAGGGCAAAUGAAACUUCUUCUACCAUUUUAAAGUUUCCUUUUUAAUUCAACAUUUGCUUGGUUGCUAUAAACUUUUGUUUUCUGGAGUUCUGACAAACUGGAUUCUAACAUUCUGUGGUUGUCUUUUCCAGGUUUCUCUGGAGGGAUGGGUGUUUGGACUGUGCUUCACCAUUUUGCUGAAGUCAUUCUAUAAACAUAUUUUUGAGUUAUAAUUAUGUGAAGAGAACUUUCUUACCUUAAAAGAAAAGUUACUUCUCUACUAUGGCAUUUCUAAACCUGGGUUAGUGACUGAAGGGUAUUAAGUUUGCUAUCCCAAAAGAUUACCUUGAUCAAGUAAUUUGAAGAUAGCGUAUGAGAGACUGGAGCGCUGUAAGGAAACCUGUUUUAUGUUAUUUUACUCAAGCAUUUUCCAAGCGUAUCUCACUGUUAGGUCCCUUCUAACUGGCGAUACAGAUUGGCAUUUAAAGAGCAUUUGUCACUAGGUUAAAAUGAGAAAAAAUGGUCUAAGUUCUUCAAAGCGUGAACAUUACUAUUUUUCACGGUUGUCAGGACCAUAGUUUUGAGGCACAGAGUGGAUGUGACUGGUACUAUCUGAGAAUCACUGUGAGUCCCCUUCUCUUCAGAAAUUCCAAGGUAAACAUCUAGAAAUAAUACAAGGGUGGCAAAGGCCAUGUGAGCUGUACAGCGGGCUGGUAAGUGCUCAGCAAGGCAUCUUUGCUCCAAGACAGGUGAACAGUGGGGCGGAGGCAGGUCCUGUAAUGCCUGCUGGCAGGAAAGUGCUUUUGAAAAGAGUAAGCAAGUUUGGAAACAAUACAAUAAAUGGUAACGGGUGCUUAGUGGAUGGUUUCAUAGGGGAGUGGUGGGUGGAAGCUGGUGCCGCUGCUGCCCCACCCAGUUUGAGCACUUAAGAACAGAGGAAAACGUCUGUUGCAGGUCUGCACAUCAGUUUUUGCCUUCCGAAUUGUAGCCCUUCUAGGGCUAAAAUAGAAUCUGACACACUUUGUCUCCAUAUAACCAACAAGCAUAUGAAGGGAUAAAAAGAAUACAUCACAUAAAUAACAAGCCAGUUUUACUCUUUAGUCUGAAAGAAGGAAUGGGGGAAAAAAGGACCUGUUCAGAAACUAAAACAAAGCAACUCUUAUGUUUAAAUCGCUUUAUUUGAAUGAUUAGAGAGUCUGUUGUUACUAAUCUGGCUGGCCAACCACCCACAUGGAUAAAGUUUUGACUAGUCAAAUAAAUAAAAAAUGCUGAAGGCUUA